UCUCCGUUGGUGAACCAGCGGAGGGAUCAUUACCGAGUUUACAACUCCCAAACCCCCGUGAACAUACCAUUUGUUGCCUCGGCGGUGCCUGCUUCGGCAGCCCGCCAGAGGACCCAAACCCUUGAUUUUAUACAGUAUCUUCUGAGUAAAUGAUUAAAUAAAUCAAAACUUUCAACAACGGAUCUCUUGGUUCUG
This 195-nucleotide unclassified non-coding RNA is filed under the name plant metagenome. RNAcentral's name for it is "partial contains small subunit ribosomal RNA, internal transcribed spacer 1, and 5.8S ribosomal RNA". The record is from RNAcentral.